Molecule: long non-coding RNA, 791 nt
Filed under: Homo sapiens (human)
Lineage: Eukaryota; Metazoa; Chordata; Mammalia; Primates; Hominidae
Description: HSALNT0270386
Source: RNAcentral
AAUUUCAGUUUGGUUAAUUUCCAUCUGUGUCAACCAAAAUUGAAAAGCUGCCAGAGACUCCACAUGUGGAGUUGGAAGAGUCCGUGUACAUUGUGGGGAGGGAGCAUUGGUGGGAAGAUGGGGAAAUGAGGGGCUCUCAGCCCUGGGUUAUUGCUUCCUGCCUGCCUCCUGCACUGUGAGCGGGGAGAGGUCGACCAGGAGGCUGCUCUUCUGCCCAUAGCGGGGUACUCUGACCUCUUCUCCCUCUUCCCUUCUUUGCCACACAUCAGCUCCUCUGGGAAGCUGAUUUGCUCCAGGGACAGGAGGUGGGGGAAAUUGCCUGUUAACCUUCCCAACACAUCACCUCAAGUUAAAAUUGGUGGAUUUCCAGAAUUUGUAUAGGAUGGGAAUGGGGACGACACACUUUUGAGCUAGUAGCUUCUGCUCGUUUUGUUAUCCCGUAAAUGUUGUCUUCCCAAAAGGUGAUUGAUUGGAGCAGAGUUAGAGACAUUGGUGACAGCAGCUACCAUGUCUCUGCCUCUCCCCUAAACACCUCUGCACUUUUGUAGGCUCAACAAGUACUGGGGAGCCUGCCACCACUGUAUGCCUUUGAGGCCCCUGCCCUGCCUCCCUGGCUGGCCACGGAGCUCGCCCUCCCUGGUAGGGGGUGAGUUUGGAAGUGAGAGGCUGGUGUGGGUCUGUCCCAUGAGCUGACUCACACUUGCCUCACCACACAUACCAUCAGAAGACCCACGUGGUGGAGCUACCGCUGCUGCUCCCCACAGUGCACCUAGGCACCCUCCUGUCCUUCC